This 486-nucleotide ribosomal RNA is filed under the name fungal sp. FLS-2010. RNAcentral's name for it is "eukaryotic LSU rRNA". The stretch from base 166 to 321 matches the Rfam family "5.8S ribosomal RNA". The record is from RNAcentral. Lineage: Eukaryota; Fungi.
CCAAACUGUUGCUUCGGCGGAAUCUCUGCCCGGGGUGCGUCGCAGCCCGGCACCAAGGCGCCCGCCGGAGGACCAACCAAAACUCUUUUUGUAUACCCCCUCGCGGGUUUUUUUAUAUUUGGACCUUCUGGGCGCCUUUCGUAGGGGUUUGGGAAAAGGAAUCAAAACUUUCAACCAAGGGAUUUCUUGGUUCGGGCAUCGAAGAAGACCGAAGCGAAAUGCGAAAAGUAAUGUGAAUUGCAAGAAUUCAGUGAUCCAUCGAAUCUUUGAACGCACAUUGCGCCCGCCAGUAUUCUGGCGGGCAUGCCUGUCCGAGCGUCAUUUCAACCCUCGAACCCCUCCGGGGGGUCGGCGUUGGGGAUCGGCCCUCCCUUAGCGGGUGGCCGUCUCCGAAAUACAGUGGCGGUCUCGCCGCAGCCUCUCCUGCGCAGUAGUUUGCACACUCGCAUCGGGAGCGCGGCGCGUCCACAGCCGUUAAACACCCAA